UGGGGAAUUUUGGACAAUGGGCGAAAGCCUGAUCCAGCAAUGCCGCGUGUGUGAAGAAGGCCUUCGGGUUGUAAAGCACUUUUGUCCGGAAAGAAAUCCUUGGCUCUAAUACAGUCGGGGGAUGACGGUACCGGAAGAAUAAGCACCGGCUAACUACGUGCCAGCAGCCGCGGUAAUACGUAGGGUGCAAGCGUUAAUCGGAAUUACUGGGCGUAAAGCGUGCGCAGGCGGUUUGCUAAGACCGAUGUGAAAUCCCCGGGCUCAACCUGGGAACUGCAUUGGUGACUGGCAGGCUAGAGUAUGGCAGAGGGGGGUAGAAUUCCACGUGUAGCAGUGAAAUGCGUAGAGAUGUGGAGGAAUACCGAUGGCGAAGGCAGCCCCCUGGGCCAAUACUGACGCUCAUGCACGAAAGCGUGGGGAGCAAACAGGAUUAGAUACCCUGGUAGUCCACGCCCCUAAACGAUGUCAACUAGUUGUUGGGGAUUCAUUUCCUUAGUAACGUAGCCAACGCGUGAAGUUGACCGCCUGGGGAGUACGGUCGCAAGAUUAAAACUCAAAGGAAUUGACGGGGUCAUAGCUGUUUCCU
RNAcentral lists this ribosomal RNA (586 nucleotides) under uncultured bacterium. RNAcentral's name for it is "partial 16S ribosomal RNA". It matches the Rfam family "Bacterial small subunit ribosomal RNA", at positions 355 to 1375 of the family's 1533-position model. The record is from RNAcentral.